AAUUGAUUUUGGAAAAAAUGGGUGAAAAUUUGGAUUCUGGGGGUAUUUUUGAAAAGAAAAUCGGAAAUCGGGGGUCAAAACGUAAUUUAAAAAAGUUGUGCCACGUCAGCACCAUGUCAGCAGCCACGUCAGCGGCCCAAUCAGCAGCCCCGGCCAACCAGGACGCGCUGCGUGGCAAGGACACGCCGACCAGGGGACGGGCCACGGGGGCGAUCCGUGUGCGCGCGAUCGGACGGCCCAGAUCCGUUCCUGCGCGCACGGACGGCCCAGAUCAACCGUGCGCACGGACGGCCC
Molecule: long non-coding RNA, 294 nt
Filed under: Carica papaya (papaya)
Lineage: Eukaryota; Viridiplantae; Streptophyta; Magnoliopsida; Brassicales; Caricaceae
Description: long non-coding RNA (CPAP_LNC001072)
Source: RNAcentral